Molecule: long non-coding RNA, 5813 nt
Organism: Neopelma chrysocephalum (saffron-crested tyrant-manakin)
Lineage: Eukaryota; Metazoa; Chordata; Aves; Passeriformes; Pipridae
Exons: 4
Source: RefSeq, a predicted model, not a curated record
CAAAGGGUGAGCGUGGGGUUGCCCCCACCUCAGUCAUAACAGGGACAUCGUUCAUUCAAAGGGUGAGUGUGGGGUUGCCCCCACCUCGGCCGUGACAGGAGCACCAUCCAGGCAAAGGGGGUGUGUGGGGCUGGCGCAGUCUGUCGCGACAGGAGCAUCAUCCGGUCAAGACUGCUAGUGUGGUGCUGGCCCCUAACUCAGUCGUGACAGGAGAAUCAUGCAGUCAAGAGUGUGAGUGUGUGAGUACAGGCUACCCAGGGAGGGUGUGGGUUCUCCCUCUCUGGAGACACCCCAAGCCCACCUGGACAGGUUCUUGUGCCACCUGCUCCAGGUGACCCUGCCUUGGCAGGGGUUGGACUGGAUGAUCUCCACAGGUCCCUUCCAACCCCAGCGACUACAGUGAUUCUGUAGGGCUGCACCAAUUGCUGUCGUGACAGGAGCCUCACCCCUCACGAGUGCCAGAGGUGAGGGCCGUGUCCCUGCGUGUCCCCUUCCCCAGAGGUCCUGCCCUGCGCUGGCACCGAGCAAUGUCCUUUGCACAGCUCCCCCCGUUCCCGUCGCACACAUCCCAGUGACAGCACACUCAGCCCCGGCUCGCGCGGCGAUAACGUGAGGAGGAAUGAGCUGCAGGGUGUGAUUUCAGCGCCGUGUGUGGGGUGAGAUCCCAGCUUUCCUCAGCGCCGUAUCUCGGCGCUGAUACAGAACACAGAAAACUGCCUGAUCCAGCCAUCCCACCCGGCAAUUCACAGACACUUCAAUGAACACAAAACAGAGAGAAAUCAGCGCCAACUGACAUUAAUACACCUGCGACACACACACAACACAGCAAGUAGUUCAGCACACAGUGUAAACACCUUCCCUUUAAAACUUGGUGCCAAGAGAUGUUCUUGUAUAUAUAUGCGUGUGCAAAUAGAAGAGCUGAUCCCUACAUGUGUGCUGGCUUACAUAAAUGCAGAUCCUACAUACAAUCUGCAUUUCCAUCACUUAUAAACCACCCACAGCACCACACUAUAAGAAACUGUAUGUCUGAUCCGGAAUGAAAUAUCUUAGUCCUGUCUCUGUGUUAGCAAAAGAAGGAUGGAGAGGGGACACCCCAUACAAAAUCGUGAUGUUCUAAGGUAUAUGUAGCCCUAUAUCCUUUCUAACAAAAGUACAACUGCUCUAAAAGACUCCUUUGUGGCUGGCCAAGGUCCAGGUAAGGAGGACUUGACAGCCUACACUUCACAUGGCAGCUCUGAAUGAAAAUUCAUGAGUUAGAUCUGAUGACCUAGUUCAGGUAAGGCAAUUACUUAUUCCAUGCCAUGCCCAUAUUAAUUUUAUCUUGCUUAUCAGCAGGAUUAAUCAGCAUGGCCAAAUGUUGCCUCAAUACAGUUAUGUUCCUUUUCAUACCACAACCUCACACUGCACCUAGAUAGACAUAGACAUAGCCUGUUAGAGAGGUAAAGAAUGUCAACGUGGCAGUUGUAUAGAGUUCAUAUAGUUUACUGUAUGUUUCUUAACCAGUUGUAAUAGUUUUCUUGAUAUUGUAUGAGCACAUGAUCCCAUCAUCCCCAAACCAAAACCAAAGUCACAAGCUGCACAUGCAUCUGAAAUUAAACCAAUAUAUCUUUGAAAAUAUGCAAUCAGUGCCAACAAAACUCCUUAUAAAUGCCUGUCACAGGCCUACAUAACCCACAUCUAAGUUUUUAGUAUCCUCUAACACACAACUAUGUACAUAUGGAACAUUAAAAAGUAUAUAAUUUCCACAAUGAUCGUAUACAGGAUAACACCCGCGACUUGAAUUAAUGUAUUUCACUGAUUAACAGCACAGUAUGUCUAUGUGAGUAGUUUCUUCCCUUCUACCAAGUUAAUAUAACCUGCAUUAUAUGUUAUUUUUUGUAAAAAUACAUUUACCACAGCAGUAUUUUUACACACAAGCAUAUUUACUAACCUUCAUAUACAAGAACACCUGCAAAGGACUUGAAACCCCUGCCUUUCAUUUUCUUCCUAUUUUUGAGUAUUACAAUUAAACAUCAGUAGCAAUUUGCAAAACAAAAUUAUAUUAGGAAGAAUCCCAGGUCGUAUUUCAUAUUAUUUCUCCCUGUGAUAUACUUCUUAUGUCAUUCUUGGUUUCCUUUCUGUGCCUGUUUCCAAAAAGGCUCAUGGAAAAAUAUUUUAAGCAUACCAGAGCCAUGGCAUGUGCAAUUAGGGCUUGGCAGAGUGUAUGAUAAAGUAGAUAUGGUGUUCUUUCAGUCUAACUUGUUAGCAGGAGGAAAUGCUGCUAGGAAGGCAAAGAGAGCUUGCAUUCUAGUGAAUCCUGGAGAACUCUUGGUAUUCUCUGGGAUCCACUAGUUCAGCCAAAGUUUGUAAACUCCACUUUCAUUGUUUCUCUCUCAUGCAUUAAUAUUAGAUGACUUCAUCCUUCCCCUUUUUUUCCUUUUUGAGCAUAGACCCAACAUAAAAUCUGGGAAGAUUCUGGACGGUUCUCUGCCUGUGUUUAUUUCUGUCAUGUGUUGUGUUAUGGUUCAGGGAAUUUUGAGAGAAGAAUGACUGAAUUAAGGAUCGUUCUACAGUUCUUUCUCCCCCAGAGCAGAAUAACCUCUGCGUUUCCUCCACCGUUGUUUCCCUGUCUUUCCCCAGAUGUGCAAGACUGAUCCUGCUGACCAAUGAGGAUUUCUUUGCAGGUGAUACCUUCCAAAUCUUCUGGCAGCUACACUUUUGAAGAACAUUUGCAGAUACAGUGCUUGGUCUAGACAGAACAGUGCAGAAUGCGCUACAAAUACCCGUGUAGACACUGCCGCAGAAGCAGUACCUGCUAAAUUUGGCAUCACUUGAUAUCACACAAAUUUAGAAUUGUGAGUUGAAAUCAGUGUUGUUUCCCAUCGCUCUGCAAGGAUUCAUGAAGCUUCUGAUGCCAUUUGCCUUGUCUCUUAAAGAAGAUGGUUAUCUUGACCCAAAUCAGAGUGAUAGCACCUCAGCUCUGCCUUAAGCACCGAGCUCAUGAAAGCUCCAGGUGAUUCAUACUCCCAGCAGGUGCAGGGAGCUUUGCAUUCUCCCUUUUUAAGGAAGGAAAAUCGAUUUAUUUUGCUGCUGUGAAGUUGCAGUUUGUUUUUAGACUGGAACCCCUCAGAGCGGUACCUCAGAAAGCAACACAACAAAAUGGGGCAGCUUUGGCCUUGAUGAAAUUCCAUUCGCAUAAUGGAAGGAUAUAUUCAUACAUUUGGCCUACUAUCUUUUUUCACUGUAAUAUAUUAAAAAGAAGCAGCCAACACAUCAGGCAGCAGCGUUAAAACAGUUCCUGUAAUGCUUACUAAUUGAAGUAAAUGGGAAUUUGGCCUGAGAGAAGACUGCAGGAUGCUUUCCUUCAAAUUGCAAUAACAUUAAGUCAUCCCUAUUGCUGCAAAGCAGAUUCACAACAGAGUUACUGAUCAUAAUGUGAAUUGUCUCUUGCUGUACACAAAAACAUACGUUUUGUAGCUCAAUUUUCAAACCACAUUAAUAGUUUUGAGUGGAGCUAAACACAGCAGAGAAGGGCACCACACAAAAUGCCAGUUGUUGAGCCAAUACACUUGAAUGCUGACCUGCAAUAGCCUUAUUAUUUCAGGCCUGGAUCUCUUUCAGUGGACAUAGACAAAGUGAUCAUAUUGUGCUUAAUUGUGCCAAAUUAUGUCAUGAUUUUUGCAGCCUGGCUAAUUGCCUGAUGGGGCUUAGGCUGAGACCACCAAACUCAUUGCUCUUGUCUUCCUAGCUGAUUUCAAAUCCAAGUCUUCAUGAGUGACAAAUGGGGGCAUUGUUUCUUCCUCCCACGGUACUAUUUUAUUCCUCUGAAAUUACAGUUAUUAAAAUGUUUCAGCCAGUUGAAAUCUACUCAGGCACAUUAAAAUGCUGCAAAAGUGCUGUAUCAAAGUGGAAAGGUUUUAAAUCUGCAGUUCUGUCAUAGGAUAAUGCAGUUUAAAUAUAGUAACUGUUUUUUCCAGUCAGCUUGCUCUUUGAUUUCACGGUAUUAUGUCAAGGGGUUUUUUUUCCUCUCUCCCCCUUUAAGAAGCUUAUAGCUUAAACAGCAAAAUGCAAAAAAAUCCUGACAUGAAACAAUUACACAAACCCAGCAGAGAAAUCAGUGAUAAAAUAUGAGUUUGAAUGUUGACAAUUAAGGUGAUCUGAGUUUAUUCUGAAUAAUUUUUAUUCCUUGGCAAUGUGUGUUCCUGUAUCAGCAGCAGGUAGAAUUUGACUUCCACAGAGACCAAGAGAACGUGAACACAAAGGAUAGUGUUGCUGCUGGGAGAUUUCUAGAACUGGAUCACUGUUCCUGCACAAAGCAGCUCCUUGCUGCCUUGGAAUUCUGAUCUCAGUGAGAGUAGCUAUAAGAGAUCACAGUUUGGGUUGGUACAUCUCUUAUUUUAUUUCUUUAUCUUAUUUAUAGUCAUUUGGUUUGUCGCUGAAGACUCCAUUAGAGUAUUUGCCACAAUAAUCUCCAUUUCCCUGCUUGGAAAAAUCUUUCUGUCUAUUCCAUUCUGAUUUCAGUAGGAGAUCUAAAAGUAUGGGAGAGAGAAACAUUAUGUCAGAACCAAGAUCCAUACUACAUAUCUAAAAAAAGUAAUUUAUCCAUAUUUGAUGGCCAAGUUGUUUUUCUGGAAAAGGAAUCAUCUUGACUGUUAUCUUAAAAAUGCACAACAACUUUAGAAAUAAAGCACUGGUUGGUGCCCACGAGAUUUGAAUUCUUAUCUCAUCCUGACCUGAAUUUUCCAUCUAAUUAAGGUCUAAUUCUGAUUAAUUUGGCAGCUCGCUGCCAUUUUUUCCCUAUGUAAAUAUUCCUUGUGGGCUUCUGGAUCUCAGUUUUGCUCUCUGUAGAAGGGGCUGAGGAUCCUGCUGAGCUUGGGGGGGGCUGUGUGGCCAAGCACAGUAUUUCUAAAAUGGCAGUUUGUUGUUUGUAAGGUGUUACAGAAUUACUCUGUAUUCUAUAUCUGCAAUGAGUUGAUGGGUAAUUGUAGUGUCAUAGCUGUGAUCACACCGUAUACUAUGAUCUGUAGAACUUCAUAGUGCAAUAAAAGUUGAAUUAUUUUCCUACAGGACGUGGGCCACCACUUCCUGAGCAGAGAAGUGGCUUCAGUUUGGAAGCCCUCAAGAGAGCAGAACCAGUUUGAAACUAGACACGUGAACACACAACACAGCCUUGUUUCUUAGUGUUAAAACUGGUUUCUUUUUGUGUUUCUUGAGUAUGUUAAAGAUACUAAUGUUGCAUUUAGAGUUUACCUUUCACUCUCUGCAGGAUGUAUUUUGCACUGUUUAUAUUACUCAGGGCCAGGUGAGCUCCCCUGGUCCUUGGUGGGCUGAUGAAAAGUCCUGGAAACUCCCAGCUACAAGUGUUGUAGCACGGUAACACGAACAGCUCCACCAUGCCACGGGUGUCUGUCAUUCCACAGAUUUGCUGAAUCACAGUAAAAAGUCACAUUGUCUGACUUUUCCAGACUGAAGGGAAGACAUGCAGGUGCACUCCAUGCGAGCAGCAAUAAUCACAGGAAAUGUGGAAAACAUACAGUACCAAACUGUACUUUUUGGACACAUUUGUGUAAUGUUGCCUUCCACGGACUAGAGAAAUGAAGCUUGGAUUAAAGCUCACUCCACUGGGGAGAAAACAGAUUUUUUUUUUCCAGUGUCUGGAAACAGAAAGCAAACGCAUUUUCAGACGUUGUCCUGCCUUGUUCAAGAAUCUCUUUCACAUCUAUACCUGAAAUGGAAGGAGCUCCCUGAGUGGAUUUACCUGGUGCUGGUGUGAGUGUGAAGCCUGAGCAAUGAUCCCAUGUAUCUUCUGUGAUGUGACAUAAAGCUACAGGUGU